Bombyx mori (domestic silkworm) is the source of this 83-nucleotide non-coding RNA. NCBI's taxonomy places the organism in Eukaryota, Metazoa, Arthropoda, Insecta, Lepidoptera, Bombycidae. The record is from Rfam.
UCAAGUCAAAUUUGUAUGGAGUGGAACAUUUGCCUACGUUUGCCGCUAAGGGCGCUGUUCCAACUGUAUACAAAUUAGAGUUA